This 774-nucleotide long non-coding RNA is filed under the name Marmota monax (woodchuck). The record is from RNAcentral. Lineage: Eukaryota; Metazoa; Chordata; Mammalia; Rodentia; Sciuridae.
GUGCGUCACUCCAACCUCCAUUCCCAUCUCUACAGCUCCCUUUUUAACUGCUGGUUCUCUGACUGUCCUGGGUUGACUCUCUGUCCUGGGCUGACUCUCUGACUCUCACCCAGCUAAGCAACCUCCAGAUUCUCUGACUGUCCUGGGCUCUUCCUUUUUUCCCCUUAAAAGAAUGCUUUUGGUUACACUGGGCCACCUGGGCAAUUCAUGACACUGUUCCCAUUUCAAAAUCCUGAGUCACACCUGCAAGUCCUUUCGUGUAGAGUAGCAUAUUCACAGGUUCUGGGGAGUAGGACAUGGACAUCUUGGGGGUCAUUGUUCUGUAACAAUAUACACAUAUCAUUUUUGUGAUUAGGUAAUAAAAGGAUUGUGGCUUAUGUUUUGGGUGUUCUCUCUUUCUUUUCCUCUCACUCAUCACUUCAGGGAAAACCAGCUGUCGUGAUGUGAGGCAGCUUUGUGGGGAAUCCCUUGUGACAGCCAAUAGCCAGUGAGGAGCUGAGGUCUGUCAACAAAAUGUGAAUGAACUUGGAACCGGGUUCUGCAGCUCCAGAGAGCCUAGAGACAGCUACAGCUCUGGUCAACAGUUGGAUCACAGCCUCAUGGAACAAACGGCCUGAAUCAUCCAGUUAAGCAACCUCCAGAUUCAUGAGCCCCAAGAAAGAGAGUAAAUGUUUGUGGUAAUUUGCAAUGCAAUAAUAGAUGAUAAAUGCAUUCAUUCAAUAAAUAUGUAUUAAGUGCCAAUACAAUGUGUCAUGUUUUCUUUGACAUGUUAGA